UACAGAGGGUGCAAGCGUUAAUCGGAAUUACUGGGCGUAAAGCGUGCGUAGACGGUUAUCUAAGUCGGGUGUGAAAGCCCCGGGCUCAACCUGGGAAUUGCAUUCGAUACUGGAUAGCUAGAGUUCGGCAGAGGGAAGUGGAAUUUCCGGUGUAGCGGUGAAAUGCGUAGAUAUCUGGAGGAACACCGGUGGCGAAGGCGACAUCCUGGACCGGUAUUGACGCUGAGGCGCGAAAGCCAGGGGAGCAAACGGG
This 253-nucleotide ribosomal RNA is filed under the name uncultured bacterium. RNAcentral's name for it is "partial 16S ribosomal RNA". It matches the Rfam family "Bacterial small subunit ribosomal RNA", at positions 524 to 776 of the family's 1533-position model. The record is from RNAcentral.